UCCAACAGAUGUUAAACUCAAACUAUAUUCUGUAGAAGAUCUUGCAGGAUGGACUCCCGGAGGCCGUGUCUAAAGGGACCGAAUGAAGGAGGGAGUGUUUGUUACAUUAUGUUUUGGUCAGGGCUGAAACAAGCCUAGCCCUGUAUCUAAUCUUAUUUCUGGAAAGGCUUUUCCUGAUCUUAUUUUCUACCACAGUGAAUAAAGGAGAGUAAAGAGAGGAGAGUUGAAUCUCCUCUCCCUUUCUCAGUGGGUACACAGGGAUUUCCAUUUUUUCUAUAAUUUAUUUCUUUUAAAUCAAGGUUUUUCAGGCUCAGCACUCUUGACAUUUGGGGCCAAAUGAUUCUCUCUUGGGCUGUCCUGUACAUUGUAGAAUGCUUAGCAGCAUCCCUGGCCUCUGUCCACUAGCUUCAGUGCCACUCCCCAGUUUUGACAACCGAAGAUAUUUCCACACGUUGCCAAAUGUCCCCUGGAGAGGAAAAUUGCCACUCCUCCAACCCCCAAUGAGAACCAUUGAUUUAUAAUAAAAAACAAAUAACCACAAAUAGAAUAAAUUAAGGAAAAAGAAGAAAAUGUUACAAGGGUGUCCCAAAAUUCUGUGCUAAAUUGGGGACGGGUGAGCACACAAUAAUAUGCUGUAUUAUUCAACAUCUUUAAACUCUUCCCACAGGCUCAAAAGGAAAAUGUAUCUUGUUAGUCCUUUUUAUAGAAGAUAUAAAUCUUUUAGCUUUUGGAUCAUUGAAGGUGAUGUUUCCAAUAAACUGCUGCCUUCCUUCCACCACAGGCUGGACACACCCUGGCAGAACCAACCCAUGGGGAUGCUGCUCUUUGAUCUGCCCCUUCACACAUUUCUUUCAGAGAUGAUGGCAAUUCGUCUUCACUCCUGAUGCUGUAUGUCGGCCAGUUUAUUGUUUCUGCCUGAUCUUCAGCAAUCUAUGACCCCCCCUCCUUCAUAUUCCUUCCUGUCUAACCCAUUCUUUAUACUUUCACAGAGUGAUUUUUCUAAUAGUUGAUAUUCCUGUAUUUAAACUCCUUCAAAAUAAGAUCCAAACACCUCAGAAUGGUGCAAUAAUUGCUAUGUGAUUCCUCUGCAGAUCACCUGGAGUUGGCACAGACUCAUAGGGUAAGGGAACGGUCCCUCAUAAGACUGCUCUCAGUUCAGAUGCCAGGCACAAGUUCAGAGAUCCCCAGGCUACCCACACUUCUGACCAACUGGCUACAAAUUCAGAGGUCCCCUUAAUUACCUAAGUGCCCAGGGUUGAGCGUCCUUGAACACACCUUGCUGUUGUAGACCCUGCACAUGCUAUUCCCUCUGCCUACCUCUGUUUUCUCCUUGGUCUGUCCAGCGAAGUCCUCCUCAUCUGUCAAGACACAGAACGUGUCCUCUGGCCCUCCUUUGCUGCCCUUUCCGGCACCUCAUCCUCAUGCUCUGGCACAGUGGCAGUUCAUCAUUACAGACAUCCCCCUUAGCUUCUGAUGGGUGAGCAAAGCGACCAUCGAAGAUCUUGUGGCUGACAGUCCUGCCUGGCCAUUCGUGCUUUGGCGAACUCAUGGAUAACAUUGCUGAGAUGACACAGGCAGGUUUCCUCUGCUCCUCCACUACCUCCUGGGCUAUUACAUCUUGCAGUCCAGACACAAUAAGAGACACUGUGUAGCUUCUCUUUCUCAGUUCUGGUUCCAAAGUUCCUGGAAGAGAAGUUUUCGUGGCCUGGCUUGCCUCAGAGCCAAGACUGAGCACCUACAGCCUGAAAACUUGGCUGAGUUGAGUCACAUAGUUACCCUGACCAACCAAUCAGACGGUGCCAGGAGAGUGAGGUCUCAUUGCACUAACAUGACCACAUUGUAAAUUCAGAAAACAGGGUGCUAAUU
This is a long non-coding RNA of Myotis brandtii (Brandt's bat), 1866 nucleotides long. RefSeq lists it as uncharacterized. NCBI's taxonomy places the organism in Eukaryota, Metazoa, Chordata, Mammalia, Chiroptera, Vespertilionidae. The record is from RefSeq and is a predicted model, not a curated record. The transcript has 4 exons.